This 293-nucleotide ribosomal RNA is filed under the name uncultured Mesorhizobium sp. RNAcentral's name for it is "partial 16S ribosomal RNA". It matches the Rfam family "Bacterial small subunit ribosomal RNA", at positions 29 to 352 of the family's 1533-position model. Lineage: Bacteria; Pseudomonadati; Pseudomonadota; Alphaproteobacteria; Hyphomicrobiales; Phyllobacteriaceae. The record is from RNAcentral.
AACGAACGCUGGCGGCAGGCUUAACACAUGCAAGUCGAGCGCCCCGCAAGGGGAGUGGCAGACGGGUGAGUAACGCGUGGGAAUCUACCCAUCUCUACGGAACAACUCCGGGAAACUGGAGCUAAUACCGUAUACGUCCUUUUGAGAAAGAUUUAUCGGAGAUGGAUGAGCCCGCGUUGGAUUAGCUAGUUGGUGGGGUAAUGGCCUACCAAGGCGACGAUCCAUAGCUGGUCUGAGAGGAUGAUCAGCCACACUGGGACUGAGACACGGCCCAGACUCCUACGGGAGGCAGC